Molecule: ribosomal RNA, 301 nt
Filed under: uncultured bacterium
Lineage: Bacteria
Description: partial 16S ribosomal RNA
Rfam family: Bacterial small subunit ribosomal RNA
Source: RNAcentral
CAGUAGCCACGGUAAUACGUAGGUGGCAAGCGUUGUCCGGAAUUAUUGGGCGUAAAGCGCGCGCAGGCGGAUCAGUUAGUCUGUCUUAAAAGUUCGGGGCUUAACCCCGUGAUGGGAUGGAAACUGCUGAUCUAGAGUAUCGGAGAGGAAAGUGGAAUUCCUAGUGUAGCGGUGAAAUGCGUAGAUAUUAGGAAGAGCACCAGUGGCGAAGGCGAUUUUCUGGACGAAAACUGACGCUGAGGCGCGAAAGCCAGGGGAGCGAACGGGAUUAGAUACCCGAGUAGUCCCUGUCUCUUAUACA